Oncorhynchus masou masou (cherry salmon) is the source of this 453-nucleotide long non-coding RNA. RefSeq lists it as uncharacterized. The record is from RefSeq and is a predicted model, not a curated record. The transcript is spliced from 3 exons. NCBI's taxonomy places the organism in Eukaryota, Metazoa, Chordata, Actinopteri, Salmoniformes, Salmonidae.
CAUAGAGAUCCUAUUAAAUUACUAGAGUUAAUUAAACCCUCAAAAAUUCCAGAAUGGAUUGUGAUUUGAGGGAAUACAGCCAUGACGGGUAGACUUUUCGUCGCAGCGAUUAUACUUUAUAUUGACCACGCAAGUGGCCGCUUUAACAAUGAAAAUAAAUGUCUUCAAAAAUGGAAGGCAGUCGGGAGGAGCUCCAUCUAAUCCAGACGGUCUCUGCGUCCAUGAAUCCACCACAGACUACCCAUAAGAUCCAGAUGACCACUAGCAGUGAAACCAGUAUGGCACUUGCUGCUCCCACUGCUACCCACAGCUUCCAGCCUAGAAGUAAACCCUCAUUGGAGUGGGUAGACCGAGUUACUGGUUGGAGGGAGAUCAAGGGGAAAAUGUCAUUGAUUUCUUCAAAGAGACACUUUUAUUUAUUUUGUAAACAGUUAUAAAAAGUAUGGAAAUCAA